RNAcentral lists this unclassified non-coding RNA (2743 nucleotides) under Drosophila pseudoobscura pseudoobscura. RNAcentral's name for it is "GA21473". Lineage: Eukaryota; Metazoa; Arthropoda; Insecta; Diptera; Drosophilidae. The record is from RNAcentral.
UGAAAAUAAAUACGGCUGUUCUAAUGGGACAAGCGAGGGUGCUAAUUGUUGCAAUUGAGUCCUUUCGAACGCAGAUGAGUCUAAUCGAUUAUUUUUGCUCCUUACAGCACAUUUAUCUCGUUAUCCGAGGAAGAACUCCCACAAGCUGUCAGUGUAAACGUCUAUUUUGCGUCAUUGCGUCUAUUCCGAUAUCGAUAGCAAGGAUUUGCUACUUCCAAGCAAUACAAUUUUACUCUUAAAAUUUCGCUCGCCAUGAUUGCUUGUAAGCAAUCACGGUAUGCUAGGAAUUGGUGUGGAGUUUUCCUUUCAUGCGUCGAAUUUUCGUGGCUGCCUUGCCUGUUGUCCAUACCCUUUUAUACCUUGCCGGCAGCACGUUUUCUAGCAACAUGUAGCAGAGCAACAUUUUUAAGCACCUGCAACAUUUUAAGAGUUGGGGCUUUUGGCACUUUGUCCAAACGCCAAGGCCCCAAAACUGCCCGAACCCGCAACACCGUAAGCUCGGUACCGCCGCUCCGCGUCGCAACGUUUUUUGCACGAGUUUUUUCACGUAUUUGUUCAUUGACAAAAACUCAAGCUGCGCUUGUGUGAGAGUGUGUGUGUGUGUGUGUGUGUGUGUUGUGUGGCGCGCGUUUGUGUAGCCGUACCACUAUCUCUGUGUGUGUGAGUGGGGCUUGGUGUGCAGAAUAAUUUUUGCAAACAUUAUGUAAAUGCGCAAAUUAAAGUUCAAUCGACACUCAGCUCAGCAAUCCGGUCGAGAGGUCAAUUUCAAAUUCGAGUCCAGAUUACCUGGCGUUACAUGCUAAAAAAUUACAGUUAACAACAAAUAAACACAAGCCAACAGGGGGGGCGCUGCGAAGGAACAGUACGAGAUCCAGAGAAAUACCGUUAGUCUAAAAAACAAAUAUGGCCACGACAGCGGCCGCCAUUGCCGCCACCAGUGUCGUCGUUUUGGAUCGCGGCAAUAACACGACCUGCACCAUCAACUUGCAUGGUGCCACAGUUGUCUCCUGGCGAGUGAACAACCAGGAGCAGUUGUUUGUUAGUAAGCUAGCCUCGUUCGACGGCAAGAAGGCGAUACGUGGCGGGAUUCCCUUUGUCUUUCCCCAGUUUGGUGCUUGGUCCUUUGGGCCGCAACAUGGAUUCGCCAGAAUCACGCGAUGGCAUCUGGAGAGGGCGCCGGAUAGGCUGCACAACGGCGACGUCGAGGCCAUAUUCUCGCUGAUGGACAACGAGUUCACGCGCUCCAUCUGGAACUAUCAGUUUCGCAUCACAUACCGCCUCAUUCUGCGCGAGAAGGAGCUCCACUUCCACAUUGGCGUCUACAACCCGAGCAAGGAGCUGAGCUUCUCCUUCAACAUGCUGCUGCACACUUACUUGAAGGUGCCCGAUGUGCGCCGCUGCCAGAUCACGGGCCUGCACGGCUGCCACUUUAUCGACAAGACGCGAGAGAACGCCUUGUACCAGGAAGGUCGCGAGGUCGUCACUGUCAACGAGUGGACCGAUCGAAUCUACCAGCACACGCCGCAGGAGCACGUCAUCACCAACGUGGUCUCCGGCCGCAAGAUGAGACUGCACAAGUACAAUUUCCCCGACACGGUCAUCUGGAAUCCCUGGAUUGACCGAUCGCGCGAGAUGAGCGACUUUGGCGAUGACGAGUUCCCCAACAUGCUCUGCGUGGAGGCAGGCAAUGUAACCUCUCCCGUGAUCCUGCUGCCGGGAACAGCUUUCGAAGCCAGCCAGAUCCUUCAGCAAUUCAAGUGUCCCUAUGAUAUAAUUAAUGCACCCAAGAAAUCCAAAAAGAAGUCCAAGUCCCGCUCAUAGCCAGUCACCGUACUUGCCUCCACCUCCUUAUGACAAACGAAAUUAUUUACUUUGCUUGCGCAGAUCAUCAUCGAAGGGAACGUCAGUCGCAAAACCAAAAGGAAUCGCUAGCGUUUAAAGAAUCGGAACCCCAUGAGGUGGAGUACAAGGAAGUAGAAGCAGGAGCUGAAGGAGGCAGACGCAGCGGGAGACACAGAACACAGUUUGGUUGUUCCCGCAUGGAAUUUAGAAUCUAACCUAUGUCUUAAGUAAUCGUAAAUCCUUCACUAGCAAUAUGUGUUGUGCAAAGAAAUCGAAAGGAAAGUAAUUCUUACCCGUAGCUUAAUCGUAGUUUUUACAUCCUUACUUGCCUACUUGGAACUGACUUCACAUCUUUCGUAAAUGGGAAGCCUCAAGGAGAUUCUGUAUUCCCAGCUCUAAAAUAAAUGUACAUUCCUUUGGCUAUGCUGGGCGUCGCCUUAUAUGUUUUUAGCCUGAGAUAUUUUGCGUCCUGUAAAUGUAUACCUUUGAACUAAACUAAAAGGUUAUUCUAUGCUUUAGGGAAUUAUACAAGAUAUAAGUUGUAGGCGAUGAUUCAGUUCACCCUCGUAUAGUUGAUGGUACAUAUAUUCUUGCCACGGUUACGGCACGAGUAAAUGGGAUAUGGAUAGUUGGGUUUCAUAAAUUUCAUAAGAAAUGACUUAAGAACGUCUAUUAUUCUCCAAUUGUAUUCUGAUAUGGCUUCACGCUCUCCGAAAGCCCCACUAAUUAGGAAAUUGCAUUAACUAAAGUUAAACUAAUGUGUCGGCUUCCACUUGAUAAACUUGUAUACGGUUGAAUAUAGAUAACGUACUUUUAUUUUUAAGUUCAAUCUGUGUAAAAUACUAAUAGCAAUUAUCUAUGCCAAUUUAUAAAAUAAACCAACUAUAAAUUUAUGUAUGUA